Molecule: ribosomal RNA, 207 nt
Filed under: uncultured bacterium
Lineage: Bacteria
Description: partial 16S ribosomal RNA
Rfam family: Bacterial small subunit ribosomal RNA
Source: RNAcentral
UGCGUAGGUGGGUAUGUAAGUUGGAUGUGAAAGCCCCGGGCUUAACCUGGGAGGGUCAUCCAAUACUGCGUAUCUAGAGUAUGGUAGAGGGUAGUAGAAUUUCCGGUGUAGCGGUGAAAUGCGUAGAGAUCGGGAAGAACAUCAGUGGCGAAGGCGGUCUGCUGGGCCGUUGCUGACGCUGAGGCGCGACAGCGUGGGGAGCAAACA